This 497-nucleotide ribosomal RNA is filed under the name uncultured bacterium. Its description in RNAcentral is "partial 16S ribosomal RNA". It matches the Rfam family "Bacterial small subunit ribosomal RNA", at positions 28 to 507 of the family's 1533-position model. The record is from RNAcentral.
GAUGAACGCUGGCGGCGUGCCUAAUACAUGCAAGUCGAGCGAACAGACGAGGAGCUUGCUCCUCUGACGUUAGCGGCGGACGGGUGAGUAACACGUGGAUAACCUACCUAUAAGACUGGGAUAACUGCGGGAAACCGGAGCUAAUACCGGAUAAUAUAUUGAACCGCAUGGUUCAAUAGUGAAAGACGGUUUUGCUGUCACUUAUAGAUGGAUCCGCGCCGCAUUAGCUAGUUGGUAAGAUAACGGCUUACCAAGGCAACGAUGCGUAGCCGACCUGAGAGGGGGAUCGGCCACACUGGAACUGAGACACGGUCCAGACUCCUACGGGAGGCAGCAGUAGGGAAUCUUACGCAAUGGGCGAAAGCCUGACGGAGCAACGCCGCGUGAGUUAUGAAGGUCUUCGGAUCGUAAAACUCUGUUAUUAGGGAAGAACAAAUGUGUAAGUAACUAUGCACGUCUUGACGGUACCUAAUCAGAAAGCCACGGCUAACUACGUG